Long non-coding RNA from Parus major (Great Tit), 2021 nucleotides. The record is from Ensembl. NCBI's taxonomy places the organism in Eukaryota, Metazoa, Chordata, Aves, Passeriformes, Paridae.
GAGGUCUCCAAGCAUUUUCAAAGGAAGCUAACAUGGCAGAUUGAAAAAUUUCCCGUCUUGAGGCUUCAGUGACUAAGUUUGGAGCCAGCCAGAGGAAUCUCACCAUUAAAUGUCGAGUUGAAGUGAAACACAAUACAUCACCUUCCUCGUGGGCUGCCAUUCAGCCACGAGUAACAGAGAUUAGCCUUCAAUCACACGAGGGCUGGAGCUGAAGGAAACCUUCCCGAGGACACGCUGGAGAAACAUUUUCAUUAGCAGAGGAGAACAUGACGGAGAUGAAGUGGCCCUUCACCUCGGCUGCCAGACCUCUCGCCUGCCUGGUGUUAACAGGAAUGCUAACCAAGGAGCUGGGGCCAGCUGCAGUGCUCUGAGUGCUGUCUGCAUCCAGAUCUAGGGAAUUUGUUUGGAACAUCAGAACAAAUGGCUGCUGGUUUUGAUGCAUUCUCAUGUUAAGUUACCUCUCAUGUCGCCCUCCUCCAUUUCAGAACUGAGAGCAGCCAAAAUGAGAGGAAAACAUGGCUCCUGAGCAAUUUUUCCCCCUAUGAUGCCUUCACCUUUCUUGUAUUCCCUUUUCUCCUACGAUCUCAGCUGGCUGAGUUUCACUGCCAGCCUAUUGAAAGGAAAGGCACGUGCUGGCUUGUGGAGGGAGAGAGACCUGAGACAGGAUAAAUCUGUAUGCAAUGAGAAUGGGGGGAAGCAAGUCAGCUGCUCUGACACUUUUAUUAUGGAGCCAGGCUGCUUGGGGAUGAAUCUUUCUUGAAACGUGUUGCUGGAUGACAUUUCUGCCAGGUCUCAGCAGUAACCUUCACCAAGCCUUGCUGCCCAGCCCUGUGCUUGCCUUUUCCUGGGACAAAGAGAAUGAAUAUCCACUGGAAAUGCCACAGGCAGCAGGGAUCAGUGGGGCUUAAUGCACCUCCAGUGAGUCUGAAGGCACCUGGACUUUCUCAGCAGAAGCUCUUCAGGCUUUGGUGACUUCAGCUUAUUGCUGCAUGUGUUGUUUUGCAAAGGAGGUGUGGGCUCCUACAUCUGUUUCUCACUUCAGAAUCAAAGAUGAUGUGGCAGAGACCAAAAUGAAAUUCUCCUCAGAGCUGUCCAGAAGGAUGGAUAACUGCAAGAAAAUAUUAUUCCAUGGCUCUGGAAAAGGAAUAUCUACUUGCUUAGUAACCUGGAGGUGUGAGAAUCGCCUUUGGGAGCAGCGCUUCCUUCUGCUCCUGCUCUGCCUGACCAAGGAUCAGUUCUCUCUCAUCCAUCAUCAGUUGUGGUGGCUCUUGGACCUACCAAAACCUGGCUGACUUGUUCCUGGUAUCAUGACACAGAAGUUGUUUGCAGCUCCAUAUCUGACUCCGUGGGCUCAAGCUCCAGCUAGAAAACCAAGGACUAAGCUGCUUUCUUGAGCACAGCCUCGUAGAGAAGCAUUUUCAGAAGAAACUCUUGCAAUUGCCACCUCCCUCUCAGCCUCUUCACUGGUUUCUGAGAGCUGCUGAGCAUCCUUGACCUCUCUCUCAGGCAUGGUUCCCUGCAUGUAUCAGCCCUGCUUCGGUGCUGUGGAGCUGUUGCUGGUGUCUGUAAUAGCUGCGUUGUUUACUUCCCAAGUGCCUGGCCUUUCUGUAAUGAGCUGUAAUUCAUCCUGGUUUAUACAGGCUCAGAUAUACCUGGAGCAAGGAGGGUGUGCCAUUAAACCACCUUCUAGACUGCUAUCUGGACCCUGGAUUGCUGAUCCCCUGGAGAUGUAAAACAGGGAGGACAAGGGGGAUCAGAUGGAAAUGGGGAAUAAUUACCUUGCAGGGCAAAGGGGGCUGGCUGGGUUGGAAACUGCUGGGAGCUGACAUGCAGGUGCAGAUGGAUGGUUACGGCAGGCAGGGCGGAGGGAUGAAAGAUGCCUUUUUAAAGCAUCUGCCUCCCUCUCUUCCUCUGCUUUAUAACCUGUUUUUAUAGAGACUGCAUGAGGAACACAUUUUAUUUUAUUAGCAGCUUGGGAGUGGAGAGUAAUAAAGAUUAAUUUUUUUAAAUAAUUCUUUGCA